This 438-nucleotide ribosomal RNA is filed under the name uncultured bacterium. RNAcentral's name for it is "partial 16S ribosomal RNA". It matches the Rfam family "Bacterial small subunit ribosomal RNA", at positions 339 to 795 of the family's 1533-position model. The record is from RNAcentral.
CUACGGGAGGCAGCAGUGAGGAAUAUUGCACAAUGGGGGAACCCUGAUGCAGCAACGCCGCGUGGAGGAUGACGCAUUUCGGUGUGUAAACUCCUUUUAUAUGUCAAGAAAAUGACGGUAGCAUAUGAAUAAGCACCGGCUAACUCCGUGCCAGCAGCCGCGGUAAUACGGAGGGUGCAAGCGUUACUCGGAAUCACUGGGCGUAAAGGACGCGUAGGCGGGGUGGAAAGUCAGGUGUGAAAUCCUACAGCUUAACUGUAGAACUGCACUUGAAACUUCUAAUCUAGAGUAUGGGAGGGGGAGAUGGAAUUAGUAGUGUAGGGGUAAAAUGCGUAGAUAUCACUAGGAAUACCUAAAGCGAAGGCGAUCUCCUGGAACAUUACUGACGCUAAGGCGUGAAAGCGUGGGGAGCAAACAGGAUUAGAUACCCGCGUAUUC